Non-coding RNA from Zonotrichia albicollis (white-throated sparrow), 803 nucleotides. Lineage: Eukaryota; Metazoa; Chordata; Aves; Passeriformes; Passerellidae. The record is from RefSeq and is a predicted model, not a curated record.
AGCGUUCUCCCUCUCUCCCUAAUUAGUAGCUGUUAGCAUCUGGAGUUGACUGUUGGUGGAUGUAAUUUGCUGCACUCCAUCAUGUGAUGGUGCAAGGAUCAGUGAAGGGUGAUGCAAGGACCAGUCAAGAGAAAAUACACACUGAUCUUUUCACUUGUUUGAAAUUUUCAGAAAAUGAAAAUUGCCUGUUGAAAACAAAAUUCCCAUGGUAGAUCUCAGUGAAAUCUUUCCACUUCUAUGAGUGAUCCAAAUCCCUUGGAAAGGGGAGGUUUCAGUGCUUGGUUACUACCAAAAUCCACUGAAUGGCUGGAGAGGAAAAAGGGGCUGGUGCCAAGAGAUGUCAAAGGAAAGAUCUGUCAGCUGAAACCCAAAACCAUUUUCUGUACAAAAUAAAAUGGGGUGGUUGCUAUUCAUUGGUGAAGUACCAGAGCUUUCCAGGUGUGAUCCUGACAUGCUACAAAAAGAGCAAUUAUGGUUGUGCAUGUCUGGUGGCCCAAAGAAUAUUCAGGUUCCUGCCUGCUUCACUAGCCAGGAGACAGCAGUCCGAGUUGGUUAUGAACUGUUGUGAGACUUUAUGAAAAUCUGCGCAUUUACUGUGCAUUUUAUAUUAUCCUAAUCUGCAAAAAAUUAUUAAUGGCUCUGUUUCUCUUGGUUUAUAUCAGUUCUACAUAUUUUCACAAUGUAGAUGUGUCAUGAUAUAUGCCAAGUACAGCCUCCAGGCUGUAUCAAGUUACAUCAGCUCUUUGCCAUCAGCAGAUGGACAAUGUCUAUGAUUUAAUAAGCACUGUUCUGAUUAUUUAUGU